CAGUCGCCACGGGAAUACGAAGGGUGCAAGCGUUACUCGGAAUUACUGGGCGUAAAGCGUGCGUAGGUGGUGGUUUAAGUCCGUUGUGAAAGCCCUGGGCUCAACCUGGGAAUUGCAGUGGAUACUGGGUCACUAGAGUGUGGUAAAGGAUAGUGGAAUUUCCGGUGUAGCAGUGAAAUGCGUAGAGAUCGGAAGGAACAUCUGUGGCGAAGGCGACUAUCUGGGCCAACACUGACACUGAGGCACGAAAGCGUGGGGAGCAAACGGGAUUAGAUACCCCUGUAGUCCCUGUCUCUUAUAC
RNAcentral lists this ribosomal RNA (301 nucleotides) under uncultured bacterium. RNAcentral's name for it is "partial 16S ribosomal RNA". It matches the Rfam family "Bacterial small subunit ribosomal RNA", at positions 509 to 807 of the family's 1533-position model. The record is from RNAcentral.